GAUGAAGAACGCAGCAAAAUGCGAUACGUAAUGCGAAUUGCAGAAUUCAGUGAAUCAUCAAAUCUUUGAACGCAAAUUGCGCUCUCGGGAUAGGCCUGAGAGCACGCCUCUUUGAGCAUCGAUUCUACCACAAGUCGACGACGUCCUUGCAAAAGGAUGUGCAGUCGGACAUUGAGCCUUGCCGGCCGUUCGCGGCUAAGCUGGCUUCAAAUAGAGCGAGAUACACAGCGAUCCUUCUGACACAUCAGGAGUGAUUUGUGACGUGGAUAACUUCACUACUCGUGAACCUUCCAAUACGUGACAGUCUCUCAUUCAACUGGUGUGCCAGUGGAAAGCAACGUGUGUUGGAUCGUCAUUCGUGACAACUCUUUUGAAUUAGAUCUCAAAUGAAGCGAGAAAACCCGCUGAACUUAAGCAUAUCAAUAAGCGGAGGA
Molecule: unclassified non-coding RNA, 434 nt
Filed under: soil metagenome
Description: partial contains 5.8S ribosomal RNA, internal transcribed spacer 2, and large subunit ribosomal RNA
Rfam family: 5.8S ribosomal RNA (bases 1-121)
Source: RNAcentral